CUUCCUUUCCAUCCUCCCUGGUCAGGGGAGCCCAACAGCAACGCGAGGGCACCCGACCCUCUGCCUGCACCUGGAGGGCGCCCGGGUCCCCCCAAGCCACGGCCAGGACGUCGCGUGGUGGGGCAGGGAAAGGGGCGCCGCCGCUGCUGGAAACUAGCCCUGUGCGCUCCGCCCGCGCUCCCCUCCCGGAGAUGUCUCGAGCGCCUCUGGCGCGAACAAAGCCCGGCCGCCCCCGAGAAACUUCCGUGCAUGAAGGUUUCCUCCUUGACUCGGCAGCAGCGGCCGCCGCAGGGCACAGAGGCGGGAACGCGCGGCGGGGGACCAGGGCGUCUCUCUCCGGAGCGCUGCCGCCUCCUGGACUCCCCGCUCCAGCUCCAAGGACCGGCAUCGCUGCCGCAGCCGGGAGGCCGAGAACGCGCGGUGGCGACGCCGCCCCAGGCCACGCGGCGAGGCGGUUCCGAACGGACUCGGGAUUCGCUCCUGGGCGCUGUGGGGCCGAGUGGAGCCAAGCGGCCGUUUUUCAGCUCCGCCCUUCCGAAAGGCUGCCGCAGGGUCGGGGCCACGUGGGGCCCGCGGCAGAGGGGCUGGGGGAACGCCACGGGCGGCCCUGGUGAAGGUGCCCGCCGGUCUCGGCCUGACCCCCAGGCCCUGUUCUGGCACGCGCCCCACCUGCGCGCACAGUGAGACCGGCGCCCUAGCCUGGGAAUCCGGGGAAUCUCCAGCCCGUUGCCUUUUCCAUAACCCCGUCUUCUUUUUCACACUAGCUCUGAGGGUGGAAGGCAGGGAGGUGCCAGCCACGUUCCCUUCCACAGAGGGAACUCCCUGUUGGAAUUCCUACCCCGGCUUCCUGCCGUCUGUCCUGGAACACAUUGCUCCAGGCCUCCGAGCCUCAGUUUCCUCGUUUGCAAAAUGGGGGCGAUAACAGAGCGUCCUCAAAGGGGAUAAGACGGAAGAAGUUGGCUCAUAUCAGGGCUCAUAAUUGUUGCCAAGUAUUAACAGGUAACCACAAUCACACUCCACAAAGCUUCCCUUUUAGUGUCAGUGAAAUUAAUUUAAAAGAAGUUUCCGAAAGUCAAGUGUGUGUGUGUGAAUCCUGAGAUAAGUCAGGUAAGGGGGGAAAUGACCACCUCACGGCCCCAGGCUGGUGAGGAAGUCCUAGCCACGGAGGCGGUGCUGCAGGACCUGGCCUGGUGGCAUAGCGUGGCGGGCGGGUUCACCGUGGAGAGACGAAGGAGGUGCUGCGGCUUGUGAGAAAAGGCCCACAACCCCAUGCAGUUAUUUAUGAAAUGGUUUUCCUUCCUCCAGGGCUUGGGGCUCCUGCCCACUCGUAUCAGGUCCCGGGACCCCCCCGGUGGUGUCCUCAGGGCUCCCGCCGUCCCAGGCCGCCCUCCACUUCUGGAAGCAGACACGAGGCCACGAGACCCACUGCUUUUGGGUAUCUGCUUUCAUUCCUGACACUGCCCUUUAAGAGAAAAAAGUACCCACAUUGUUCCCAGAUGGAGAGGGUCCCUCCCAGAGGGUGAGGCACUGCCACAGGGGCUCACGGCCCUGCCAGGAGUGGAAGGUGCACACCCAGAAGUAUUUCUCCUGUGAAGGAAGGGGGCUGAGCUUCGCUGCAGACCUGGCCUCAGGUGUGGAUGAGCUUCGCUGCAGACCUGGCCUCAGGUGCGGAGUCUGCGGGAGCAGCAUUUCCAGGCAGACCUGACAGAAGGUGCCUUUGAGAGGUGGUGAGCUCCGUGUUACAGGAGGCUUGUGAGCACAGGUAGCCCAUCUUCUGGUGAUGAUGCUGGAGAAGCAAUUCAAAUGUCAGAAGCAGGACUGGACUCUGUUUCCAAAACUCACGUCUGGAUUCUACCCCCUGAAAACAUUAUUUACACAAUGUUUUUCCUUUAAACAAUUCACACAUUUGAUUAAAAGGGUAAGUUUAUUUUUU
Molecule: long non-coding RNA, 1933 nt
Organism: Homo sapiens (human)
Lineage: Eukaryota; Metazoa; Chordata; Mammalia; Primates; Hominidae
Source: Ensembl